Molecule: long non-coding RNA, 1905 nt
Organism: Boleophthalmus pectinirostris (great blue-spotted mudskipper)
Lineage: Eukaryota; Metazoa; Chordata; Actinopteri; Gobiiformes; Gobiidae
Exons: 5
Source: RefSeq, a predicted model, not a curated record
UACUUGGUGCGUCAGCGCGCAAACUUGAGCACAAAGCAGGGAAAGGAGCGGUCCCCCUCUUUCCUUUGUCUGAUGCAGGGCGCUUUGAGGAAGACAAGUUGACGGGGAUGCUCUUUACAUCUCCAAACCGCGCCAUAACGCACGACUUCUUGUUCUAUGGGAUUAUAUGUCUUUGUUUGCUUUAUCGGCCGUCACAUGGAGUUGGUGCUGCUUUUGUCCCUGGUGAUGUUGCGACGCGCUGGCUGCCUGUCAGGAGAAGUUGGCGGAGAAAAAUGCUCCUCUUACGCACGCUGCUUAAAGACAAAGUGUUUGUAAGAAGUUUGGCAUAACUUUUGAAUUUGUUUGAUUUAACGGUGUAGUUAUAAUUGAGUUGUGUUUUAGUCACGCGAAGUUGCUAAUUCACUGUGGGAAUUCAGAACAAUGCAAUCAGGUGUAAAGUAUCAUAAACACAACACUGGCGUGGAGGCAAAGUUGUUGUGCAGAAAAAUAUAGUAUAAAUGCAAAGUAAACGAAUUUAUCUUGAGGUUAGCUGUAUUUCCACUUUGAAAAGUGUAAAAAUAAGUUGUUUGCCGCUAAUUAGAAGCGGAGCAACAGGUAUAAGUCUCAGCUCCUCUUUGUUACAGUACAGCCUCUUUGUUCUCAGCCCAUAGUCCAUACAAAGAAACUCCGCACAAAGCAAUGUAAUUCUGUCAUAAAAACAAUUGUUGUGUCGCCCAGGACACCACAAUGUGCUAUUUUGUCUAUAAUCUUUAUUCUAUAAGCCCAAAUAGUAAAAAGACAGUAUUAUACAUCAAUUUCAAACUUUUAAGCACAUGGGACUCAGAGCAUCUCUGGAUAAAAGGAUGUGGGAUUUUAACACCAGAUUAACCGACUCACCAAAUUUCCCCAGGAAAGGUUAAAGGAAUAAAAAAAAAAAACCCUCCACAAAAUCUCCACAAAUCUUGCAGCAAAUGUAGCCACCUAUCAAGCACUUUAAGAAGAAGCUCUGCGGAUUAAGACACAGUGGCCUGGUUUCGUUUUUGGAGAAGGUGAAGACUCAUCUCUGAAGGAUUUAAAGUUGAGCAGCAGAACAGAAGUAGCGUGCAGGAUGAGUUUAAGGCACACUUGGAAAUCUCCAACUCUUGGAGCCACUUUGCGGAUUAUAAAGAUCUUGAGGCACUUACAACUUCGCUGGAUAAAGGCAGGAUAUCCUUCGUUCCUCUACCAUACGAAAUACAAGCCAAAAUAGUGUGACUGUACAAAUGGGAAGACACACAUGAACAGAUCUUGUGAACAAACGUCUGUGUGAAACAGGAGGAGUCUGAGACAGUGUGGGCAUGUGGGAGUGGAGAGGUCUGGGAGAUCAUGACCUUAAUUCUCUCCAAGACAGACGGUUUAAUUAACAGCAGAGAAAUCCUCACUGACUUCCCAGCUCCACCGUCAAAAUGUACGCAGAAUGAAGUGCAAAGGUAUGGGACUAAGGUCCUCUCAGACAUUUGGCGGACUGUGAAGGUAACAGACGAUGCCCAUGAAUGAUGAAUGAUGACUGGAGGUCUGUCUGAUGCCAGCUGAAUACAUAUUACAUCGCACAUCCAGCCGUUCUCUGGCCUUCUCGCCACAAAACGGUGCAUCACAUCAUUGACUGAGGGUCCCCCCGGCAACACGCGCGACCAUCUGAGAAGAGAUCUAAACAUAUUCAAGACCCUCUGUGGGGUUUUCAUAAAAGCUGAGACUUAUACACUUUAUUUUGUGUACACUUGAAAUCGUAUAUCGUUUUGUUCAGUUUUUUUUCUUUCCAACUUUUUGACCUGCAUAGCUUUUAAUCAAUCUUGUUAUGGAUGUGUAUACUGUUCAAACCCCACAUUUAAUCUGUCUUGUAAUUUUGUAUUGUGUACAUAUAAAAUAAUAAAUAUAUAAAAUGAUAAA